RNAcentral lists this long non-coding RNA (1233 nucleotides) under Chrysemys picta bellii (western painted turtle). RNAcentral's name for it is "lncRNA (ENSCPBG00000002901.1)". The record is from RNAcentral. Lineage: Eukaryota; Metazoa; Chordata; Testudines; Emydidae.
AUGUCGCUGUACUUGAUAAUAUCCAGGACCGGAUCCUUAGCUGGUGCCUAUUUACAUCAGCCAAGCAUAUGCACUGUGAAUUUAGUCCUUGUGAGAGAAGCUAAAUUGAAAGUCCUGGAAACCAAUUUCCUCUAUUAUAGAUCUAAUAGAGCAGAGGCAGUACUCCUGACAGCGUGUUUCAACCCUGCUCUGGACAGUUCAUCCUUCAUGGUUAGAGCGACUCUGUGCCCAUUCAGUCUUUGACCUCUCUAUUCACAAUACCAUCAAGAAUGUCUAUUGCACACUGUGAUUUUGUCAAUCUGAAAAAGAAAAAGGAAAAAAAACACACGAGAAAAUGCAAUGUUCAGAAGUACUCAUCUGGGCUCCUUCUAACAGUGUCUGUAAAAUGGUUAUCAGCCCAAUCUGUGUUAGAGAAAGAUGCUACCAACCCUGCUGUUGCGCUGGCUUACGUCAUUAAGGCAAGUAUCCUUUUGAUAAACACUUCUCAGCAAAGUUAGUGCUGACUAAAAAAGAAAGAGAAACCUACUUUUGAAUAGAACUGGAUGAAUUUUGGGAGGAACAAUUACUAAUCUUUAUUUGAAUUUUUAAAACUUCAUUCUGACAGCCUUUGGAAACCUUUGAUUUCUGUAAAUACUCUAGCAAAUGAUUUUACUAAAACAUUCACUAAAUUGCAGUUAAACACAGAAAAUACAGUCCAAAUUAACAUCAAGAGUAUUUACACUGAAAUCUGGUUUUAAGAAUUACACAUAUCCAAAUGGGAAACAGAAAGAUGGUAUGUACGUGUCCACUAAAAAAGAGCAUGGACUUUCUGAUGAGUAGACCUGGUCAAACUUUGUUGAAUUUUGAAUUUUUGAUAACAUUUAAAUCAUGUUCCAAAAUUUGAAGAAGAAAAAAAAAGCAAAAGAAAACCACAAACCAAAAACACACACACACACACACACACACACACACACACACAANNNNNNNNNNNNNNNNNNNNCACACACACACACACACACACAACACACACACACACACACACACACACACACACACACUUAAAAAAACCCAACACAGACAAAUUUUGGAAACAUUUUGAUAAGAUUUUUAAAACAACAUUUUCCCUAUGCGUUUUAUUCAAUGAUAGAGCUAGUUGGGAUGUUUCAAAAAGUGAAAUAGGAACUUAAAUUUGAUUUGACUACUUUUGCUAUUAGAGUUUGGUGAAUAAUAAAAUAUUAAAUUAAAAUGUUUUCA